AACGAACGCUGGCGGCAGGCUUAACACAUGCAAGUCGAGCGCCCCGCACGGGGAGCGGCAGACGGGUGAGUAGCGCGUGGGAACGUACCUUUUGGUUCGGAACAACUCCGGGAAACUGGAGCUAAUACCGGAUAAGCCCUAACGGGGAAAGAUUUAUCGCCGAAAGAUCGGCCCGCGUCUGAUUAGCUAGUUGGUGAGGUAACGGCUCACCAAGGCGACGAUCAGUAGCUGGUCUGAGAGGAUGAUCAGCCACACUGGGACUGAGACACGGCCCAGACUCCUACGGGAGGCAGCAGUGGGGAAUAUUGGACAAGGGGCGCAAGCCUGAUCCAGCCAUGCCGCGUGAGUGAUGAAGGCCUUAGGGUUGUAAAGCUCUUUUGUCCGGGAAGAUAAUGACGGUACCGGAAGAAUAAGCCCCGGCUAACUUCGUG
This 431-nucleotide ribosomal RNA is filed under the name uncultured bacterium. RNAcentral describes it as "partial 16S ribosomal RNA". It matches the Rfam family "Bacterial small subunit ribosomal RNA", at positions 29 to 507 of the family's 1533-position model. The record is from RNAcentral.